This 329-nucleotide unclassified non-coding RNA is filed under the name soil metagenome. Its description in RNAcentral is "partial contains 5.8S ribosomal RNA, internal transcribed spacer 2, and large subunit ribosomal RNA". The stretch from base 1 to 120 matches the Rfam family "5.8S ribosomal RNA", at positions 35 to 154 of the family's 154-position model. The record is from RNAcentral.
GAUGAAGAACGUAGCGAAAUGCGAUAAGUAAUGUGAAUUGCAGAAUUCAGUGAAUCAUCGAAUCUUUGAACGCACAUUGCGCCCUCUGGUAUUCCGGGGGGCAUGUCUGUUCGAGCGUCAUUAUAACCACUCAAGCUCUCGCUUGGUAUUGGGGUUCGCGGUUCCGCGGCCCCUAAAAUCAGUGGCGGUGCCUGUCGGCUCUACGCGUAGUAAUACUCCUCGCGAUUGAGUCCGGUAGGUCUACUUGCCAGCAACCCCCAAUUUUUACAGGUUGACCUCGGAUCAGGUAGGGAUACCCGCUGAACUUAAGCAUAUCAAUAAGCGGAGGA